RNAcentral lists this transfer RNA (71 nucleotides) under Phylloecus linearis. Its description in RNAcentral is "tRNA-Thr". Lineage: Eukaryota; Metazoa; Arthropoda; Insecta; Hymenoptera; Cephidae. The record is from RNAcentral.
ACUAUAUAGUUUAAUUAAUAAAACAUUAAUCUUGUAAAUUAAAAAUAAAUUAUAAUAUCAUUUUAUAGUAU